This is a long non-coding RNA of Olea europaea var. sylvestris, 550 nucleotides long. RefSeq lists it as uncharacterized. The record is from RefSeq and is a predicted model, not a curated record. The transcript has 2 exons. Lineage: Eukaryota; Viridiplantae; Streptophyta; Magnoliopsida; Lamiales; Oleaceae.
CAAAUGCAAUCAAAAGAAGGAAAAUGAAGAAUCUUGGAAAAGUCAUUUUCCGGGUUUGGUUCUGAACAAAGAAUUCAAAUUCAAAAGUUUCAAUAUACAAUAGUCUCUUCCAUUCUUGCGAUGGAUAUUUUAGAGACAUUCGCUCAUGAAGACCUUGCUUUUGUGAACAUUGACAUUGUAUCUCAUUGUGGGAAGGACUCAUACAACACCUCCAUUCGCCAACAACAAAGUCAAAGGGAAAGAGAUCGGCAAAAAAGACUUAGAACUAGGUGUAUUGAUUAGCGUAAAAGGAUAAAUUAGCCUAUGAAUUUGGGAAAUAAUUCUUUUGUUGUUCUCCAAUUGCAUGAAUCUAUAAUGCAUCACAAUCCUGAUGCUUCUACUUCAAAUAAACAAAUACAUGAUAUUUGUAAUUUUGAAUUAGAAGGAACUCUUAAUGGAUUGAACGUGCCAUCUACCGCUUAUAUAUUACCAACACCCAUCUAUUGUAAGCAUUGUAAUGCCUGUAAAUUUUAUAGAGAAACUAAAGAUUUUUGUUGUUUUGAUGGAAAAA